ACGGCUCAGUAACACGUGGACAACCUACCCUUGGGUCCGGCAUAAUCCUGGGAAACUGGGAAUAAUUCCGGAUAGGUCACCGAUGCUGGAAUGCGCGGUGGCCGAAAGCUCCGGCGCCCGAGGAUGGGUCUGCGGCCUAUCAGGGUUGUAGUGGGUGUAACGUACCUACUAGCCUACGACGGGUACGGGUUGUGAGAGCAAGAGCCCGGAGAUGGAUUCUGAGACACGAAUCCAGGCCCUACGGGGUGCAGCAGGCGCGAAAACUUUACAAUGCGGGAAACCGUGAUAAGGGGAUCUCGAGUGCCAGCAUAUAAUGUUGGCUGUCCAGAUGCCUAAAAAGCAUCUGUUAGCAAGGGCCGGGCAAGACCGGUGCCAGCCGCCGCGGUAACACCGGCGGCCCGAGUGGUAACCGCUAUUAUUGGGUCUAAAGGGUCUGUAGCCGGCCAGGUAAGUCCCUUGGGAAAUCUGGCAGCUCAACUGUCAGGCUGCUAGGGGAUACUGUUUGGCUUGGGACCGGGAGAGGUGAGAGGUACCUUGGGGGUAGGGGUGAAAUCUUGUGAUCCUCGAGGGGCCACCAGUGGCGAAGGCGUCUCACCAGAACGGGUCCGACGGUAAGGGACGAAAGCUAGGGGCACGAACCGGAUUAGAUACCCGGGUAGUCCUAGCCGUAAACGAUGCUCGCUAGGUGUCAGUCACGGUGCGACCGUGAUUGGUGCCGUAGGGAAGCCGUGAAGCGAGCCACCUGGGAAGUAUGGCCGCAAGGCUGAAACUUAAAGGAAUUGGCGGGGGAGCAC
Molecule: ribosomal RNA, 794 nt
Filed under: uncultured Methanosaeta sp.
Lineage: Archaea; Methanobacteriati; Methanobacteriota; Methanomicrobia; Methanotrichales; Methanotrichaceae
Description: bacterial SSU rRNA
Rfam family: Archaeal small subunit ribosomal RNA
Source: RNAcentral